CUACCAACUUUAGUAUUCUGUAACUGUAGACGUUUGUGGGGCCCUGAACAAAGCCUAUAUCUGUCAAGUUGCUUGCUGUAGAGGAACUCUUCUCCUUUUAAAAAAAAAAAAAAAAAAAUCAACUACUUGUUCUACAAAAUCACGAACUACAUCCAAUUAAUUCCCAAUUGAAAAUCAAAAAAUCUGAAAAUUGAAAUCCUUUAAAUCAAACCUUAAAAUCGUCAUACGCAGGUAAUUGGAAGGCGAAGUACUGAAAUUUGAAGGUAAUUGAAGCACGAAUCAGCGUAAUAUGGCUUUCACUAGGCCUUCGAGUGGGUGGAUGAAGAAGAUGAGAGUGUAUGGCAGAAGGAUAUUAACAAACCAACUUCUUUUGGACAAGAAACUAAUGAAGGGUGAAAUAAGCUCAUUGCAGAGAGAAGUGGAGGACCUUAUUGGCAAAAGAAGGUGUCUCUUGAAUGAAAAUGAUAAUCUGAAACUCAAAUGCAAAGCUUGAGUUCUGACAGGAAGAAAAACAAGACUGCAGGUCAACAAAUUCAUCCUGUUGGAGUGAAAUUCAUAGUUAUCAUAUUUGAUUUGGUUUUUUUUUUUUUUUUUUUUUUUUUUUUUUUUUUUUUUUUUUUGAAAUAAGCUCUUAGGGAUUUUUGUAAUCCAUAACAAAGUUUAGGCUAGUAGUUAACAUUAGCUUUAUGAUGAUGUUAUCUUUCAGUUGCAAUUGUAAGACUUUGAUUAAUGAAUGAAUGAAAUUUCAAGCAUAUGAUUAAUA
This is a long non-coding RNA of Chenopodium quinoa (quinoa), 763 nucleotides long. RefSeq lists it as uncharacterized. The record is from RefSeq and is a predicted model, not a curated record. The transcript has 2 exons. NCBI's taxonomy places the organism in Eukaryota, Viridiplantae, Streptophyta, Magnoliopsida, Caryophyllales, Amaranthaceae.